AAUAGCCCAGAGAAAUUUGGAUUAAUACCCCAUAGUAUAAUGAAGUGGCAUCACUUUAUUAUUAAAGAUUUAUCACUCGAAGAUGGCUGUGCGGCUGAUUAGGUAGUUGGCGGGGUAAAGGCCCACCAAGCCUGCGAUCAGUAACUGGUGUGAGAGCACGACCAGUCACACGGGCACUGAGACACGGGCCCGACUCCUACGGGAGGCAGCAGUAAGGAAUAUUGGUCAAUGGAGGCAACUCUGAACCAGCCAUGCCGCGUGGAGGAUGAAGGUCCUCUGGAUUGUAAACUUCUUUAUAUGGGACGAAAAAGGCUCUUCUAAGUCGUCUGACGGUACCAUAUGAAUAAGCACCGGCUAACUCCGUG
This 365-nucleotide ribosomal RNA is filed under the name uncultured bacterium. Its description in RNAcentral is "bacterial SSU rRNA". It matches the Rfam family "Bacterial small subunit ribosomal RNA", at positions 142 to 507 of the family's 1533-position model. The record is from RNAcentral.